RNAcentral lists this ribosomal RNA (490 nucleotides) under uncultured bacterium. RNAcentral describes it as "partial 16S ribosomal RNA". It matches the Rfam family "Bacterial small subunit ribosomal RNA", at positions 29 to 505 of the family's 1533-position model. The record is from RNAcentral.
AGUGAACGCUGGCGGUAGGCCUAACACAUGCGAGUCGAACGGCAGCACAGUAAGAGCUUGCUCUUACGGGUGGCGAGUGGCGGACGGGUGAGGAAUACAUCGGAAUCUACUUUUUCGUGGGGGAUAACGUAGGGAAACUUACGCUAAUACCGCAUACGACCUACGGGUGAAAGCAGGGGAUCUUCGGACCUUGCGCGAUUGAAUGAGCCGAUGUCGGAUUAGCUAGUUGGCGGGGUAAAGGCCCACCAAGGCGACGAUCCGUAGCCGGUCUGAGAGGAUGAUCAGCCACACUGGAACUGAGACACGGUCCAGACUCCUACGGGAGGCAGCAGUGGGGAAUAUUGGACAAUGGGCGCAAGCCUGAUCCAGCCAUACCGCGUGGGUGAAGAAGGCCUUCGGGUUGUAAAGCCCUUUUGUUGGGAAAGAAAAGCAGCAGGUUAAUACCCCGCUGUUCUGACGGUACCCAAAGAAUAAGCACCGGCUAACUUCG